This 647-nucleotide ribosomal RNA is filed under the name uncultured archaeon. RNAcentral describes it as "bacterial SSU rRNA". It matches the Rfam family "Archaeal small subunit ribosomal RNA", at positions 833 to 1478 of the family's 1478-position model. The record is from RNAcentral.
GAGUACGGCCGCAAGGCUGAAACUUAAAGGAAUUGGCGGGGGAGCACUACAACGGGUGGAGCCUGCGGUUUAAUUGGACUCAACGCCGGAAAACUCACCGGGGGCGACAGCAAUAUGUAGGUCAGGUUAAAGGUCUUACCUGAAUCGCUGAGAGGAGGUGCAUGGCCGUCGUCAGUUCGUACUGUGAAGCAUCCUGUUAAGUCAGGCAACGAGCAAGACCCGUGCCCACUGUUACCAGCAUAUCCUUUAUGGAUGAUGGGGACUCUGUGGGGACCGCUGCUGCUAAAGCAGAGGAAGGUGCGGGCUACGGUAGGUCAGUAUGCCCCGAAUCUCCCGGGCUACACGCGGGCUACAAUGGUUGGGACAAUGGGUAUCUACUCCGAAAGGAGUUGGCAAUCUCUUAAACCCAAUCGUAGUUCGAAUUGAGGGCUGUAACUCGCCCUCAUGAAGCUGGAAUCCGUAGUAAUCGCGUUUCAACAUAGCGCGGUGAAUCUGUCCCUGCUCCUUGCACACACCGCCCGUCAAACCAUCCGAGUGAGGUAUGGGUGAGGGCACGAACUUAGUGUCGUGCUCGAACCUAGAUUUCGCAAGGAGGGUUAAGUCGUAACAAGGUAGCCGUAGGGGAAUCUGCGGCUGGAUCACCUCCU